Mauremys reevesii (Reeves's turtle) is the source of this 4389-nucleotide long non-coding RNA. RefSeq lists it as uncharacterized. The record is from RefSeq and is a predicted model, not a curated record. The transcript has 3 exons. NCBI's taxonomy places the organism in Eukaryota, Metazoa, Chordata, Testudines, Geoemydidae.
UACAUUCUGCCAGAGAGGUGCUGCAGUUACACCUUUUGCCCACCAUGGGCUGCUGUGGUGCCAGAACAGAAGGCAGCCAGCCCUGGAGAAGCUGUGUUCCUCAUAGUACCCUGCUUGUGGGGCCAGGGAUAUCAAAGCACUUUAUAAAAGCUGAUUUUGUCCAGAUUGGGAAACCAAGGCACAGAAGUAGUGAUUUGCCCCAGAAGAAGGAAGAAACACAUGAAGUGAACUUACAGAGUUCUGAUCUCAACAGCUUUAGCUGCUAAUGUGUAACUGGACAUGUUUGAAAAAACUAUAUAAAAACAAAAAUGGUUUAAGGAUCCCAAAAUACCAUUCUAUAUGUAGAAGCCAAUCUACAAACUGAACAGAAAUGACCACAUCCACCACUGAAAUGUAGCCCCCUCUGGGGUUGAAGUGCAGCAGCUGCUUAACAGAACAGAGCCACAUUACACAGGUUUGAAGCAGAAUUCACUUUCUGAAUUCUGAAACUGAAAUUGCAGGGGGAAUGCAGGUACACAGAAUGCAGUUACCAGAGUUUGAAUAUGGCUAGGGCAAGAGGUACAGCACAUCUACUUUUGCAUGAAGUACCAACACCCAAAAUGUUGGAAGACUUUUCUCUUCUCUCUCCUUUUAAAGGAAGUUUCCCACCAAGCCCUAGUACAUGCUAGGGCACAUAUUCAAAGGGGAAGAGUGCCACUUACUAAAUUGUUUCUUGCAGCAAUGUUAAAGUGGAAAGAAACUUUUUAUUUCUUGAUCAAAGAUUAAUUGAACCCUUUGUAAUGAGAAUAUCAUUGAAUGUUUGUCUUACACAGAUGAUGCCUGCAGUACAAGCCUGUGUUCUGUCCUGUGUCUGUUUUGUUGAACUGUCAUUUCCAAACUCCGGUGUCAUAGGACACCUUGUGGCCUAACAUUUCUUCUUUAGGGAAUUAAUUGAUUUUUCCUGUCUUGAGAUGUGAAGAUUCAGAGUUUGCAUGUAACUCUGUCACUUGUGUGUGCAGUAAUGCCAGCAGGAGAGCAGCUGGAGGCCACUUGGAGACCUUUCAUGUGACAGAGGAGCAAAAUCGUGAACAGAUUUAUUUGUGAUACUUCUCCUACCCUUUACUACCAAACCAGUUUGUUGUUCUGUACUGUACAUGAAUGGUCUUUGUUGCUGAAUCAAUUCCACCCAGAUGCCACAUGGAGAUUUUUGCUUUUGUUGAAUUGUUUGUUUUGUUUUUAAAUACUAUAAAGCCAAAACAGCUGUCUUACUACAUAGCAAAUCCUCCAGAUCAAAAGUAAUGAUGAGGUUGACCAUUCAUAUGUGUAUAGAGCUCUAAACCUACUUAACUAUAUUAAUUGUGACACAAAACAGAUGUUCACUACUUACCUACACAUAUUGCAACUCCUAUGUAGGCAACAGUUGUAAUCAGAAUGGCCAACAUUGUUCCUUUGGGUAUAGCAGCUUGUGGGUCCUUAAAAAUUGUAAUUGCAAAAAUUGCUGUGAGUCCUUUAUAUAUUUGUAAAUUAAGAGUUUGUACUGUGAUUAUUUACAAGUUAGCAAGUUUUGGUGCUGCCACUUUGUGAUAUGAAAAUAUUUUGGGGAGGGAGAAAUUGUUACCAGUUAGAUCUGUACAAGGAACUCACUCUCCAGCAUGCGGGUGGAGUCAGGGUGGAGUGACACCAUCCCUGUCCCCUGAGUGCUGCAAAGGAGGCACUGCAGAUCCAGAACUCCAUUUAGGGCAGUGCCACACUGUGAGACUCCCAUGCUGUACAUUUAGUGUAACUUUAAGUCCCCUUUGCACCAGCACAGCAGUGGUCCUUAAUGUCCUGCUUUAAGCACUCACUCAAACUACCCAUCUCAUUGUACAAUUCAAUUAGCCAGUAAGAUUAGGGCAAACAGUCAUUUUGAAAGAAAGACACUACUAUUACUGUUGGAAACUCAUAAUCCCGAGUUAUGUCCAAAGUGAGCUCCUACCUUUCAGGUUGCUUUUACUUUUACAUUAGAUUAUUCAGGAAAAGUCUGCUGGGAAAAAAGUUAUUGCAGGGAGAGGCAAGUGAGUUGGGUCAGCAUUUCUUUUAUAAACUGUAACUGAAGACUAUAUCAGCACUGUUCAUGCUUCUGUGGAUAAAGGGCUCUAAGACAUUCCAUUAUUAAUUAUGAUUUUUAGGAGAUUUUAAUACCAUAAAAAAUUCUUGCAGGCAAUAACUUGGUAUAUACUUGUUCAGCCUAGAAAGCAAUUUGUUGUUAAUUUUCUUUUUAAAUUGGUUUAGUGGGUUUUUUUUUUUUAUUUACUUAAAAGAUUUGUUUUUCCAAAUGAAAUGUAGCAAAUCAUUGUGUGUAAUGUGGAUGAAUGACUUAAUUAUGUUAAUUCUUAACAUUAUCAAACAAGAAUUAAUGUAGUAAAGUUUCACUGGGCUAAAAAUCCCCAAACAAAUCACUUCAGUUGCAUAUGAAUCCUUAACCUUCAGUCAUUAUGGCUUUUAACACAUGCCAUCCCAGUGUUCAUGUGUCAAGUAGCCAUUGUAUAGGUAGGAUCUUAUGCUGCAAUCUUAAAACACUAACUAGAAGGACAUUUUCUCAAUAUGCCAUCACCCUUUCAGGGUCUGAGCUAAAGCCCUUGAAGUCAAAGCAGACUCUCAUGGACAUCAAUGAAUUUUGGAUCAGGCCCUUCAUGAAUGAAUGAAUGACUGCCUGUUUCAGAGACAUGGCCUUAUAACUUGGCUACAAACUUUAGAGGCAGUUUAGUUUGUCUACUUCUAAAUUUUAAACUACAGCUUAUGUUGUGUUUCAGGUUUCUCUUUAGGCUGAUUAAUUUCAUUAGAUCGCUCUUGAUGCAUCUAAGCAUGGACAGUGGGGGAUUCUCAUUGUGGAUGGGGGCUGUGGAAACAUCCAUACAGCAGGCAAUACAGCUCUGUAGGGCUGAUGUGUAGUGGGAAUGUUAUGUGUCCCACCAAUCCAUUCACUCCCCACCCUGUCCUAGUUCCUGAGUGGUUCCUGAGAUCUGUGGAGAGAACUCCACGUUGUCUGGGAAGGAAGAGAUGCUGCAGUGGAAGCUCUACUGAGAUAUGUGUGAUUCCUUUCACAUCAGUGGCCUGCCAGGCAAAGGCCUAAAUCAAAGCAGCUGCUUUUCUUGUGCACACUAGGUUUGAUGAAAUAAUGGGGAUUCUCUCAGCUGGAAUGAGAAGGGCCUGGUUCAGUCUCAACAGAAUGCUUGAAAAAUCAUGAAAAAUCAUUUCUAAAAAUCAUGAAAAAAAAGAAAUCCAUUACAAAUGCUAUUGGCUGGAUGCUAUCAUGCUUACUCCUAUUGAGUAGCACCUGGCUUCAAAAGCAGCCCCAGUAAAACAAAGGCAACCCAAGCUCUUGGAGCAGAGAUCCUAGCGGGGAGGGGAGGUUCGCCUUCCUCUGAAGCAUGGGGCACAGGUCAUUUGUUGGUUUAAACUAGAGUAAAUGGUGGAUUCUCUAUAACUUAAAAUCUCUAGCUCAAGAUUUGAGGCCGUCAGUAAUUCAGUCAGAGGGUAUGGGCCUAUUGGAGGAGUGGGCAGGUGAGCUUCCAUGGCCUUCAAUGUGCCGGAGGACAGACAAGAUGAUCUUGAUGGUCUCUUCAGGCCUUAAAGAUGAUGAGUUUAUGACACUGCUCAGUGUGAGUAAGGAUGACACAACUGGCCCUUAGAUUGAACUGGAGCAGUUUGUGGAUGUUUUUCAAAUACUUGCGUAUCAAAUCAAUUUGACUGGAGUUGAGCACUUUAACAGGCAUACAUCCGCAAAACCAGACUGCAUGAUAAGGCUCAAGAACUUUAUUUAACAUUUAAUUUAUGGGUGUUCCACCCACUAGAAUAUUUGGGAGACCAUUUUAUAACUCAAAUUCUAAGUCCAAACCACCAAUGCGUCUCAAAUACUCCACAGACGGCCGUUGAUUUGUUUGUGAUAUUCUUUGAAUAUUACUGAGUACUGAAUAGCUUCACAAGUAUUGUGACUGUUUCAUCAAGUACUUCACAAAGCCAGAAAAGCCCCAUUUUUUUGUAUUUCACAAGUACGAUUCAAUCCGCUAUAAUAUUAGGUAUCACUAAAGAGCUAAUAUAAAGCCAUAAAAACUAGAUGGCCCUCAUAGUUAAAGCUAAAACCAAAUCCUUAAUUUACCAGUUUGCUUAAAUAUUGGAAACAUUUAAUUGAAAAUUUAGUGACUGAAAAAUUAGUGACCUAAAAUAAUUUAUAUUGGUUGCAAGGGUAAAGAGGAAACACUUAAGGGUCUGCUCUCCUAUUGGUUUUACCAAAAAGCUCUUUUUUUGCACAUGAGCUUUCCAUUUCCUUGUUUUUAUGGGUGUAAAACUUGAGUUUUAUGGUAUACUUUUCAGUAUGAUAUAAGGGGAAUUAGCGAAGCAAUUGUAAUGGAAUUAUACAGCUAAUUUCCA